Molecule: ribosomal RNA, 439 nt
Filed under: uncultured bacterium
Lineage: Bacteria
Description: partial 16S ribosomal RNA
Rfam family: Bacterial small subunit ribosomal RNA
Source: RNAcentral
CUACGGGAGGCACCAGUGAGGAGUAUUGCACAAUGGGGGGAACCCUGAUGCAGCAACGCCGCGUGGAGGAUGACGCAUUUCGGUGUGUAAACUCCUUUUAUAUGUCAAGAAAAUGACGGUAGCAUAUGAAUAAGCACCGGCUAACUCCGUGCCAGCAGCCGCGGUAAUACGGAGGGUGCAAGCGUUACUCGGAAUCACUGGGCGUAAAGGACGCGUAGGCGGGUUGGAAAGUCAGGUGUGAAAUCCUACAGCUUAACUGUAGAACUGCACUUGAAACUUCUAACCUAGAGUAUGGGAGGGGGAGAUGGAAUUAGUGGUGUAGGGGUAAAAUCCGUAGAUAUCACUAGGAAUACCUAAAGCGAAGGCGAUCUCCUGGAACAUUACUGACGCUAAGGCGUGAAAGCGUGGGGAGCAAACAGGAUUAGAUACCCUCGUAGUC